UAACACAUAAUCCAGAUGGCUCCUUACGUGUUAAAAAUUGUCACCCCAAUUUCACUCCAAUUUGGAAAAAUAUUGGAGUGACGUUUGAAUAAUCUGAAAUUUUUAGAUUCCUUUUCUAACUUUUUUGGGAGGUUUUGCUUCUCUUGCACAGAUGUCGCUUGCACUUCAGUUGCGUGGUUGCCAAACGUUAUAUCGAAAUAUAUUUCAUUUCAUUAUGAAUAUAUAAAAUUAAAAAUUAUGUAAUUUAUAAACAUGAAAUAGAUAUGGAUGUUAGGUAAUACCGGAUGUUAAAUUAAUAUAUAAAUAUUUAACUUAAUACGUACAUUAUUAUUUUAUUAAUUUAUCGUCACACGUCAUUUACCAGUUGCCUAAUUACGAAAAGUUUCAUAUGAUAUUAACCUCAAAAAUGAUCUUUGAAAACAAACAACAACAAAUAACUCAAAGAAAUAACUACAUAAUAAUAACUGAUAAUAAUGACUUUUAAUGGUAUAAAGGCUGAUGAAGUUUUAGACAACCAAUACAAGAUUCAGAACUCGGCAUCGCGAUAAACAAGUAAAAUUGUACAUUCAGGAACUCGUUUAAAUAUUAUAGGUUGAUUGAAGAAUAAUCUACAAUUGAUUAGAGCCUAUGACGAUGCGAAGAUAAUUAAUCACCUAACUUUAAGAAACCAGCCUAAAGAAGUUUACAUGCAUCUCAUCUAACCAUUAUAGGUAAUAAUUUACAAAAUUAGUCAUUUUUGAUUAUAAUAUUAUGGUACUUAGGUACAUUUUAUCUUCUAGAUCAGUAGUGAUUUUUCAUAAUUUGAAUGAACUCACAGAUAGCAAUGG
Long non-coding RNA from Sitophilus oryzae (rice weevil), 827 nucleotides. RefSeq lists it as uncharacterized. The record is from RefSeq and is a predicted model, not a curated record. Lineage: Eukaryota; Metazoa; Arthropoda; Insecta; Coleoptera; Curculionidae. The transcript has 3 exons.